AGCGAACGCUGGCGGCAGGCCUAACACAUGCAAGUCGAGCGGGCACCGCAAGGUGUCAGCGGCAGACGGGAGAGUAACACGUGGGAACGUGCCCUUUGGUUCGGAACAACUCCGGGAAACUGGAGCUAAUACCGGAUAAGCCCUUACGGGGAAAGAUUUAUCGCCAAAGGAGCGGCCCGCGUCGGAUUAGCUAGUUGGUGAGGUAAUGGCUCACCAAGGCGACGAUCCGUAGCUGGUCUAAGAGGAUGAUCAGCCUCACUGGGACCGAGACACGGCCCAGACUCCUACGGGAGGCAGCAGUGGGGAAUAUUGGACAAUGGGCGCAAGCCUGAUCCAGCCAUGCCGCGUGAGUGAUGAAGGCCCUAGGGUUGUAAAGCUCUUUUGUGCGGGAAGAUAAUGACGGUACCGCAAGAAUAAGCCCCGGCUAACUUCGUGCCAGCCGCCGCCGUAAU
RNAcentral lists this ribosomal RNA (452 nucleotides) under uncultured bacterium. Its description in RNAcentral is "bacterial SSU rRNA". It matches the Rfam family "Bacterial small subunit ribosomal RNA", at positions 29 to 524 of the family's 1533-position model. The record is from RNAcentral.